ACUCCCUCCGUUUUUUAUUAUAAGUCAUUUUAGAGAAACUUUUCUGUUCCAAAUUAUAUGUCGUUUUCGGUUUUCUAUGUAAAAUUUAUUAAUAAUUAAUGUUGUAUGACCAAUGGUAAUAUAUCUUAUAUUUUUCUAUUGGUUGAAUUGUGGUUAGGUAAAUAGUUAAUGAUGUUUUUGUUUAGAAAAUAUAAAAAAUUAAUGGUUUUCUUAAUCUACGUGUAUAGCUGUAAAACGACUUAUAUUAAAAAACGGAGGGAGUAUACAUUAUAAAUUUACAGGUUUUAAAAACAAUACUCCCUCCGUUUUUUAUUAUAAGUCGUUUUAGAGAAAUUUUUUUGUUUCAAAUUAUAUGUCGUUUUCGGUUUUCUAUGUAAAAUUUAUUAAUAAUUAAUGUUGUAUGACCAAUGGUAAUAUAUCUUAUAUUUUUCUAUUGGUUGAAUUGUGGUUAGGUAAAUAGUUAAUGAUGUUUUUGUUUAGAAAAUAUAAAAAAUUAAUGGUUUUCUUAAUCUACGUGUAUAGCUGUAAAACGAC
RNAcentral lists this long non-coding RNA (534 nucleotides) under Brassica rapa (field mustard). Its description in RNAcentral is "long non-coding RNA (BRAP_LNC003076)". Lineage: Eukaryota; Viridiplantae; Streptophyta; Magnoliopsida; Brassicales; Brassicaceae. The record is from RNAcentral.